UGAAGUAUUACAGUGUAAGUUUCUCUUCCGUACAUGAGUGUUAAAACUGUCGGUCAAUAUAUCGAUCUACUUUGAAAUUUUCUGGGUUUGCGUUGGGUUGGGUUGGUCUGGUAGUGGGUAGUAAAAUGAUCUGUUUGUUGGGGUCCAUCUUUUUUUCAGGGAUGUUUGUUAGGAUCCAUAGUCGAAGGGUAAAGAGAUGAGAUUCAUUGUCUGAUCCCCACGUCCGCAAUUCUAGCCCAUGGGUGCCGCUGCAUUGGCCUGCCCUGAGUCACCGGUAGCCAGUCAUACAUGCUGCUUCAGUGACUCGUACAUACCCCCUCGGCCUACUCACCGGCGUCGAGCGGCCAAAGCCCUCACUGCUAGCUCAAAUAGCCAUGGUGCCCAUGUACGAUGAUUGGAUCGAUUGGCCUAACCCAAUCCAUGCAUAUAGGAGGAGCGUAUCAUUGGCAUCAAUAUAUUUGGCUUAAAAGUUUGUAGAUGGACAAGCUCACACCAAAGAUGUCAUCUCUAUCGCUUAAUAAUAUAACAAGAUAGUGUGCAUUUAUCAACGCAAAUUAACCACUAGAUUGGAUUUCUGGAUUAUCACUCAAGGAUUAUUGCUUGAAAGUUCAUACAUGGAUGCCAUCUUUGUCGCGUACCAACUUAUAAAGAAAAUGUGCAUGUAUCAAGGGCAAACCGCUAGAUUAAAUUUCAGGAUUAUCACUCUCGGAUGAGCUUGGACACCUUGAGGUUAGAAUCAGGGACUCUUAUACUUCUUGAUCAUGCACAUCUUUAAUACAAAGUGAUGUUGUUUUACCAACUACAUGUUCAUGUUUCAGAUUAUCAAGAAUGGUGAGCUCCAAGAACUCAUGGUAAAUGGAGGGGCUCUGAUGUUGCAAUAAAAAGAAAUGGCAGAUGUUUUUCCAGGAAGUCAUCUCAACAAGACCAAAUGGUAUAAUCCUUAUAUUCUAGAUUUUCUGUCCAUGAUAAUGCAGUGUAGCAAUAAUAACAUACAAAUGUCAUUGCCAUCCAGCAUGUCAAUGCUCUCUUGAGUGGGCUUCAUUAGAUGGAGCAAUGGCUUCGUUGAGAACCAGGGAGUGUCAAGGUAUGUACUUAAUCGAGCUGUAGUUCUUGCAUUUAAUAACAGAUAGGCAGAGUCAAAGAAUGGCCAGAGAGCAUCAUGAAGUAAUGAUGGAAUUAUAUCCUGUUCUAGCUUCUGAAUUCUAAACCCAACAAUAUCCAAACCUUCUUAGAGCGUUAGUCACACUUGUGGCAGCAGAAGAGAUCUUGAUAAGAUGCUGCUGCUGCUUAGUGUUGCUUGCUGCAUAAAUUCGAUCUGGUGCAGUUUCUGCUUUGCAUGCUUGUCUAAGUGUUACCUUAAUGUCAAGAGAAUAAUCUUGUACAAUGCAUAUUUUAUCUGAUUUUUGCGUAUCCAACCCAUGUGCUUUAUAUUAACCGAACUGAUUUAAAUGUCAUACUCUUGUUUUGUAUGUCAGUGGCAUGUGCAUGUAAAAUCCUUUGCAGAUAGUACAAGAACAACCAAGCCUUCUUACAGAGUGUUAGAUUGCUUGAUGCUGCUACUUCGUAUGCUUGCUUAAGUGUCACCCCAAUGUCAAGAGAAUAAUCUUGUACGAUGAAUAUUUUACAUUUUUUUUGUUCUUGGUACUGUUGUUUUUUUGCUGAUCCACUACACUUGCUUUACAUUAACCAAAAUGAUUUGAGCAAGCAUACUAUUGUUUUAUUGCCGUGGGGUGUACAAGUAAAAUCCAUUGCAGAUACAAGAAUGACUUUUGUGGAGAAACAAAAUUCCCAGCCAUAUUAGCUUUGGGAAUAGUCAUCCUGCAACAUCUUCUUUAAUUCCUCUUGUGGCCAUGAAUCCGUUGGUUAUAAAGUUUGCAAUAACAAAACAACAUCGUGUUUCUUGUAUACUGGAACAUUUUUUUCCAUUUAAGGUAGCUGUUUAUUCAAUGAGAUUUUCUAACUUUGUCCUACUCUAUUAUUUGGUUUCUUGGGGCUUAUCUCUAGAUUAUGGUGAAGCAAGGGGGAGUUGCUUAUAUCCGAGUUGUUGCCACAAGCGACUUUCAUCCUCUAUUGUAGCUUUAGCGAAUAUAGUUGAUGCAUGAUUGCAGAUGCCAAUGAUAGGUGUAUAUGUGAGAAGAGUAUGUGCGUACAUUGGUGUAUGUCUACCAAUAAUGAUUACUAAAAUUCCAAAUUGCACAUAUUGACAGUGGAACCUCCCAGUUUCCAUUUCUCUUCAAGGCUACAUUUGCAUGUAAUUUUUUUUGACAACCAAAUUGCUACAUAGACUACUUUGUUUUAGUAGUGCAGUAUUUUAUGUUCUUCCAUCAGAGGUACUUCAUUCAUUUUUUUACACCUUUGGAUAUAUGACUUCAUCUUUCUUUUAUAUAUAAAAUAGACGCCAGAUGUGUGCAUAACUACUUCCAUGAUGAGCCGAUAUUUGUCGAGCAGGUCAUGCCACGUCUUCCCACCGAGAUCCAGUGGAGACAGCUGGGCCUGUAGCUCAGAGGAUUAGAGCACGUGGCUAUGAACCACCCACGGUGUUAGGGGUUCGAAUCCCUCCUCUUGUCGGUCACCAUCGAGCUCCAAAAUAUGUGAUGAUGUAAAUUGUUUUAUGUGAGAUGUUUAAUGUGUACCGGUGAUGCAGCAUUUUGGACUGCUCUGAAAUAUAAACGGGUAGCUAAUUUUAGGUUGCUUCAAAAUAUGGGCCAUGUAAAUGGAAAGUUCUAUGUCUGAGUCGGAUGUAAGGCUGCUUGUAAUGGGUAGUAUCAUAAGUUAGUAUCAUGCAUAUGAUACUAGUAUAUGAUAUUACCUCCCUAAUGCAUAGUAUCAUAGAUACUUUAUUUAUUGUCAUGCAUGACACAGUAGUAUUGCAUUUUUGCAUUUAUUAUUAUACGAUAUCAUAAUAUGAUAUUCAACCCUCUCUUUCUUCAUUUAAUUCUAUGUCAUCUCAUCUAAAUUGCCUAGUUGGC
Molecule: long non-coding RNA, 2969 nt
Filed under: Triticum aestivum (bread wheat)
Lineage: Eukaryota; Viridiplantae; Streptophyta; Magnoliopsida; Poales; Poaceae
Description: long non-coding RNA (TAES_LNC007486)
Source: RNAcentral